Molecule: long non-coding RNA, 186 nt
Organism: Triticum aestivum (bread wheat)
Lineage: Eukaryota; Viridiplantae; Streptophyta; Magnoliopsida; Poales; Poaceae
Exons: 3
Source: RefSeq, a predicted model, not a curated record
CUCUUCCGAUCUGCUCGAGAGGACAUAAUUUUUUUUAUCAAGGGAAAGAAUCUAGGGUUAGUGAAAACUAAUAAAUUAGGCCAACUUUGUCAGUCUAUCCUUAAUAUAGAAAUAAAUCGAAAGGUUAAAAUAAGAAGAAAGUCCAAUAAAAGUAUAUCAGAAUCAAUCCCUCUUAUUAGAUUUUAA